Molecule: microRNA precursor, 102 nt
Filed under: Marmota monax (woodchuck)
Lineage: Eukaryota; Metazoa; Chordata; Mammalia; Rodentia; Sciuridae
Source: RNAcentral
AAUAAAAUUUCUGGAUCAUAUGAUAAAUAACAUGUAACUGUUUUAAAGACUGUCAAACUGCUUUCCAAAGUAACUGUAUCAUUUUACUUUCCCACCAGCCAU